RNAcentral lists this ribosomal RNA (1313 nucleotides) under Acrochordus granulatus (little file snake). Its description in RNAcentral is "partial 16S ribosomal RNA". It matches the Rfam family "Bacterial large subunit ribosomal RNA", at positions 199 to 2606 of the family's 2925-position model. The record is from RNAcentral. Lineage: Eukaryota; Metazoa; Chordata; Lepidosauria; Squamata; Acrochordidae.
CACACAAACAUCCAUAAUAUUAAAACAAAACAUUUGACAAACCCAGUAGAUGAGAUCGAACAGUAACAUAGGAACUAUAUAAUCAGUACCGUAAGGGAAACCAAAUAACAGUAAAAACAGCAAAGAUUAAACCUUGUACCUUUCGCAUCAUGGUUUAGCAAGGAUAUAAAAGACAAGAAAACAUCAUAGCCUUAACCACUCGAAACUAGGUGAGCUACUCCAAAGCAGUUAAUAGAACUAAUCCUUCUCUGUAGCAAAAGAGUGGAGAGACUUAAAAGUAGAGGUGAAACGCCUACCGAACCUAGAGAUAGCUAGUUGCCUAACAACGAACAUUAGUUCAACCAUAGGAUAUUACCGUAAUUCAUUACACCCUAUAAAUUACUCAAUAGAGGUACAGCUCUAUUGAAACAGGAUACAACCUGUAUUUGAGAGAAAACCAACCUUAACUCAGCCCAGUAGACCUUAAAGCAGCCACCAAAAAGAAUAUCGUUCAAGAAUUAUAAAAAAAAUUCAACCAAUAUCUAUAAACUCCAAACCAACUAAAGGCCAAUCUAUAAAUAUAGAUAAAACAAUGCUAAAACUAAUAAUAAGAAAAUUUACUAUUCUCUUAAGCGUAACCAUCAACUAAAAACAGAAAACCUUAUAGUAAUUAACAGACCAUAAAAGGCAAAGAAUCACCCAAUACACACUACCUACCUAUACUGUGACCCCGACAUAGGAACGCUAAAAAGAAAGAUUAAACAUUACAAAAGGAACUCGGCAAACCUAAGCUCCAACUGUUUACCAAAAACAUAACCUUUAGCCAAACAAAUAUUAAAGGCAACGCCUGCCCAGUGAACAAAUUAAACGGCCGCGGUACCCUAACCGUGCAAAGGUAGCGUAAUCACUUGUCUAUUAAUUGUAGACCAGUACGAACGGCAACAUGAGAGCCCAACUGUCUCUUGUAAUCAAUCAAUUAAACUGAUCUCCCAGUACAAAAGCUGGGAUACACAUAUAAGACCAGAAGACCCUGUGAAGCUUUAACUAAACCUCUAACCCAUAUAGAGACUAAUUUAGGUUGGGGCGACCUCGGAAUAAAAAUAAACUUCCGAACUAAAUUGAGCUUUACCUCACUUACACAGGCCCACAAGCCACAACACGACCCAGUAUAACUGAUAACUGAACCAAGUUACUCCAGGGAUAACAGCGCUAUCUUCUUCAAGAGCCCAUAUCAAAAAGAAGGUUUACGACCUCGAUGUUGGAUCAGGACACCCAGAUGGUGCAACCGCUAUCAAAGGUUCGUUUGUUCAACGAUUAAUAGUCCUACGUGAUCU